Molecule: ribosomal RNA, 374 nt
Filed under: Nematoda sp.
Lineage: Eukaryota; Metazoa; Nematoda
Description: SSU rRNA
Rfam family: Eukaryotic small subunit ribosomal RNA
Source: RNAcentral
CUGAAUAACUACGCUGAUCGCACGGUCUCGUACCGGCGACGUAUCCUUCAAGUGUCUGCCUUAUCAACUUUCGAUGGUAGUCUAUAAGCCUACCAUGGUUGUAACGGGUAACGGAGAAUAAGGGUUCGACUCCGGAGAGGGAGCCUGAGAAAUGGCUACCACUUCCAAGGAAGGCAGCAGGCGCGCAAAUUACCCACUCUCAGAACGAGGAGGUAGUGACGAAAAAUAACGAGACAGUUCUCUAUGAGGUCUGUCAUCGGAAUGGGUACAAUCUAAACCCUUUAACGAGGAUCUAUUGGAGGGCAAGUCUGGUGCCAGCAGCCGCGGUAAUUCCAGCUCCAAUAGCGUAUAUUAAAGUUGUUGCGGUUAAAAAG